Molecule: ribosomal RNA, 218 nt
Filed under: uncultured bacterium
Lineage: Bacteria
Description: partial 16S ribosomal RNA
Rfam family: Bacterial small subunit ribosomal RNA
Source: RNAcentral
ACGCUCGACACCUACGAGAGGCAGCAGUGAGGAAUAUUGGUCAAUGGACGCAAGUCUGAACCAGCCAUGCCGCGUGCAGGAUGACGGCUCUAUGAGUUGUAAACUGCUUUUGUACGAGGGUAAACGCAGAUACGUGUAUCUGUCUGAAAGUAUCGUACGAAUAAGGAUCGGCUAACUCCGUGCCAGCAGCCGCGGUAAUCUGAGCGGGCUGGCAAGGC